AACGAACGCUGGCGGCAUGCCUAACACAUGCAAGUCGAACGAGACCUUCGGGUCUAGUGGCGCACGGGUGCGUAACGCGGGGGAACCUGCCCUUAGGUUCGGAAUAACUCCCCGAAAGGGGUGCUAAUACCGGAUAAUGUCUUCGGACCAAAGAUUUAUCGCCUUUGGAUGGGCCCGCGUUGGAUUAGCUAGUUGGUAGGGUAAAAGCCUACCAAGGCGACGAUCCAUAGCUGGUCUGAGAGGAUGAUCAGCCACACUGGGACUGAGACACGGCCCAGACUCCUACGGGAGGCAGCAGUGGGGAAUAUUGGACAAUGGGCGAAAGCCUGAUCCGGCAAUGCCGCGUGAGUGAUGAAGGCCUUAGGGUUGUAAAGCUCUUUUACCCGGGAUGAUAAUGACAGUACCGGGAGAAUAAGCGCCGGCUAACUCCGUG
This 433-nucleotide ribosomal RNA is filed under the name uncultured bacterium. Its description in RNAcentral is "partial 16S ribosomal RNA". It matches the Rfam family "Bacterial small subunit ribosomal RNA", at positions 29 to 507 of the family's 1533-position model. The record is from RNAcentral.